AGGCCCCAGGGAGAACUCCAAUGGUGUCUGUGUCAGCACGCCCACACCAGGCCACAACAAUGGCCGCCGGCAAUGUCCCAGUUCCUGGAGAGGUCUCACCUCUCACUAAGAUGCACUCAGAGCCUAUCAGAAUUUGGUUGAUCUUGCAGGCUGAGAAAGAGCUGAACAAACAGGUGCUGAAGGUGUGAAACUCAAGGAAGGCUGUAAUAUAAAUCGUAGCUUAUUUGUUUUGUGACAAGUGAUCAAGAAACUUAGUGAUGGACAAGAUGGUGCUUUCAUAAAUUAUCGAGACAGCAAAUUAACACGAAUUCUCCAGAAUUCCUUGGGAGGAAAUGCAAAAACAUGUAUUAUCUGCACAAUUACUCCAGUGUCUUUGAAUGAAACCCUGACUACUCUUCAAUUUUCCAGAACUGCUCAGUCUAUGAAGAAUACCCCUUAUGUUAAUGAGGUAUCAAAUGAUGAAGCUCUCCUGGAAAGAUAUAGAAAAGAAAUAAUUGAUCUUAAAAAACAGUUAGAGGAGGAGAAAAAAGAGCUGCGACAAAUGUUAGAGUGUGUUACCGCAGAAAAGGAGCA
Long non-coding RNA from Diceros bicornis minor, 573 nucleotides. RefSeq lists it as uncharacterized. The transcript has 6 exons. NCBI's taxonomy places the organism in Eukaryota, Metazoa, Chordata, Mammalia, Perissodactyla, Rhinocerotidae. The record is from RefSeq and is a predicted model, not a curated record.